Molecule: long non-coding RNA, 5053 nt
Organism: Oncorhynchus tshawytscha (Chinook salmon)
Lineage: Eukaryota; Metazoa; Chordata; Actinopteri; Salmoniformes; Salmonidae
Source: Ensembl
ACGUUAAUGUUUUGUAAACUCAGGGCAGUAAUCUGCAAAUAUCCUUCUUGGCCAUUAAACAGAGAGACACCAGAUAAACAAUACAAAUCUUUUUAAUUCACUGACAACUUUGGUUUCCUACAUGUAACAUCACAUCAUGUACGUAACUGUCGUAGUAUCUAACAUCACAUCAUGUAUGUAACUGUCGUAGUAUGUAACAUCACAUCAUGUAUGUAACUGUAGUAGUAUGUAACAUCACAACAUGUAUGUAACUGUCGUAGUAUGUAACAUCACAUCAUGUAUGUAACUGUAGUAGUAUGUAACAUCACAACAUGUAUGUAACAUCACAUCAUGUAUGUAACAUCACAACAUGUAUGUAACUGUAGUAGUAUGUAACAUCACAUCAUGUAUGUAACUGUAGUAGUAUGUAACAUCACAACAUGUAUGUAACAUCACAUCAUGUAUGUAACAUCACAUGUAUGUAACUGUAGUAGUAUGUAACAUCACAUCAUGUAUGUAACUGUAGUAGUAUGUAACAUGUAUGCAACUUUAGUAGUAUGUAACAUUAUGUAUGUAACUGUAAUAGUAUGUAACAUGUAUGUAACUUUAGUAGUAUGUAACAUGUAUGUAACAUUAUGUAUGCAACUGUAGUAGUAUGUAACAUCACAUCAUGUAUGUAGCAGCAUGUAUGUAACUGUAGUAGUAUGUAACAUGUAUGUAACAUCACGUAUGUAACUGUAGUAGUAUGUAACAUCACGUAUGUAACUGUAGUAGUAUGUAACAUCAUGUAUGUAACUGUAGUAGUAUGUAACAUCACAUAAUGUAUGUAACUGUAGUAGUAUGUAACAUCACGUAUGUAACAUCAUGCAUGUAACUGUAGUAGUAUGUAACAUGUAUGUAACUGUAGUAGUAUGUAACAUGUAUGUAACAUCACGUAUGUAACUGUAGUAGUAUGUAACAUCACGUAUGUAACUGUAGUAGUAUGUAACAUCAUGUAUGUAACUGUAGUAGUAUGUAACAUCACAUAAUGUAUGUAACUGUAGUAGUAUGUAACAUCAUGCAUGUAACUGUAGUAGUAUGUAACAUGUAUGUAACUGUAGUAGUAUGUAACAUCACAUAUGUAACUGUAGUAGUAUGUAACAUCACAUAUGUAACUGUAGUAGUAUGUAACAUCAUGUAUGUAACUGUAGUAGUAUUAUGUAACAUGUAUGUAACUGUAGUAGAAUGUAACAUCACAUAUGUAACUGUAGUAGUAUGUAACAUCAUGUAUGUAACUGUAGUAGUAUGUAACAUGUACGUAACUGUAGUAGUAUGUAACAUGUACGUAACUGUAGUAGUAUGUAACAUGUAUGUAACUGUAGUAGUAUGUAACAUCAUGUAUGUAACUGUAGUAGUAUGUAACAUCACAUAUGUAACUGUAGUAGUAUGUAACAUCAUGUAUGUAACUGUAGUAGUAUGUAACAUCACAUCAUGUAUGUAAUUGUAGUAGUAUGUAACAUGUAUGUAACUGUAGUAGAAUGUAACAUCAUGUAUGUAACUGUAGUAGUAUGUAACAUCACAACAUGUAUGUAACUGUUGUAGUAUGUAACAUCACAACAUGUAUGUAACUGUAGUAGUAUGUAACAUCACAACAUGUAUGUAACUGUAGUAGUAUGUAACAUCACAACAUGUAUGUAACUGUGGUAGUAUGUAACAUCACAUAUGUAACUGUAGUAGUAUGUAACAUCACAUCAUGUAUAUAACUGUGGUAGUAUGUAACAUCACAUAAUGUAUGUAACUAGUAGUAUGCAACAUCACAUAUGUAACUGUAGUAGUAUGUAACAUCACAUCAUGUAUAUAACUGUGGUAGUAUGUAACAUCACAUAAUGUAUGUAACUGUAGUAGUAUGCAACAUCAUGUAUGUAACUGCAGUAAUAUGUAAAUGUAGUAAUAUGUAACAUCAUGAAUGUAACAUGUAUGUAACUGUAGUAGUAUGUAACAUCACAUAAUGUAUGUAACUGUAGUAGUAUGUAACAUCACGUAUGUAACUGUAGUAGAAUGUAACAUCAUGCAUGUAACUGUAGUAGAAUGUAACAUGUAUGUAACUGUAGUAGUAUGUAACAUGUAUGUAACUGUCGUAGAAUGUAACAUCACAUAUGUAACUGUAGUAGUAUUUAACAUCAUGUAUGUAACUGUAAUAGUAUGUAACAUCACAACAUGUAUGUAACUGUUGUAGUAUGUAACAUCACAACAUGUAUGUAACUGUAGUAGUAUGUAACAUCACAACAUGUAUGUAACUGUAGUAGUAUGUAACAUCACAACAUGUAUGUAACUGUAGUAGUAUGUAACAUCACAACAUGUAUGUAACUGUAGUAGUAUGUAACAUCACAUCAUGUAUGUAACUGUGGUAGUAUGUAACAUCACAUCAUGUAUGUAACUGUAGUAGUAUGUAACAUGUAUGUAACUGUGGUAGUAUGUAACAUGUAUGUAACUGUAGUAGUAUGUAACAUGUAACUGUGGUAGUAUGUAACAUGUAUUAUGUAACAUCACAUCAUGUAUGUAACUGUAGUAGUAUGUAACUGUAGUAGAAUGUAACAUCAUGUAUGUAACUGUAGUAGUAUGUAACAUCACAACAUGUAUGUAACUGUUGUAGUAUGUAACAUCACAACAUGUAUGUAACUGUAGUAGUAUGUAACAUCACAACAUGUAUGUGACUGUAGUAGCAUGUAACAUCACAACAUGUAUGUAACUGUAGUAGCAUGUAACAUCACAACAUGUAUGUAACUGUAGUAGUAUGUAACAUCACAACAUGUAUGUAACUGUGGUAGUAUGUAACAUCACAUAUGUAACUGUAGUAGUAUGCAACAUCAUGUAUGUAACUGUAGUAGCAUGUAACAUCACAACAUGUAUGUAACUGUAGUAGCAUGUAACAUCACAACAUGUAUGUAACAUCACAUAUGUAACUGUAGUAGUAUGCAACAUCAUGUAUGUAACUGUGGUAGUAUGUAACAUCAUGUGUGUAACUGCGGUAGAAUGUAACAUCAUGUAAGUAACUGUUGUAGUAUGUAACAUCACAACAUGUAUGUAACUGUAGUAGUAUGUAACAUCAUGUAUGUAACAUCAUGUAGGUAACAUCAUGUAAGUAACUGUGGUAGUAUGUAACAUCACAUUAUGUAUGUAACUGUAGUAGUAUGUAACAUCAUGUACUGUAUGUAACUGUAGUAGUAUGUAACAUGUAUGUAACUGUGGUAGUAUGUAACAUCAUGUAUGUAACUGUGGUAGAAUGUAACAUCAUGUAUGUAACUGUAGUAGUAUGUAACAUGUAUGUAACUGUGGUAGUAUGUAACAUCACAUUAUGUAUGUAACUGUGGUAGUAUGUAACAUCAUGUAUGUAACAUGUAACUGUGGUAGAAUGUAACAUCAUGUAUGUAACAUCACAUCAUGUAUGUAACUGUAGUAGUAUGUAACAUCAUGUAUGUAACUGUAGUAGUAUGUAACAUCACAUCCUGUUUGUAACAUUACAUCCUGUAUGUAACUGUGGUAGAAUGUAACAUGAUGUAUGUAACUGUGGUAGAAUGUAACAUCAUGUAUGUAACUGUGGUAGCAUGUAACAUCACAUCAUGUAUGUAACUGUGGUAGUAUGUAACAUCACAUCAUGUAUGUAACUGUGGUAGUAUGUAACAUGAUGUAUGUAACUGUAGUAGUAUGUAACAUGUAUGUAACUGUGGUAGAAUGUAACAUCAUGUAUGUAACUGUAGUAGUAUGUAACAGCACAUCCUGUUUGUAACAUUACAUCCUGUAUGUAACUGUGGUAGUAUGUAACAUCAUGUAUGUAACUGUAGUAGUAUGUAACAUCAUGUAUGUAACAUCACAUCAUGUAUGUAACUGUGGUAGAAUGUAACAUGAUGUAUGUAACUGUGGUAGAAUGUAACAUCACAUCAUGUAUGUAACUGUGGUAGUAUGUAACAUCACAUCAUGUAUGUAACUGUAGUAGUAUGUAACAUCAUGUAUGUAACAUCACAUCAUGUAUGUAACUGUGGUAGAAUGUAACAUCAUGUAUGUAACUGAGAGUCUCUGUGAUGCAGUCUACAGUCUACUACAGUGAGAUGCAGUCUACAGUCUACUACAGUGAGAUGCAGUCUACAGUCUACUACAGUGAGAUGCAGUCUACAGUCUACUACAGUGAGAUGCAGUCUACAGUCUACUACAGUGAGAUGCAGUCUACAGUCUACUACAGUGAGAUGCAGUCUACUACAGUGAGAUGCAGUCUACUACAGUGAGAUGCAGUCUACUACAGUGAGAUGCAGUCUACAGUCUACUACAGUGAGAUGCAGUCUACUACAGUGAGAUGCCUUCUACAGUCUACUAGAGUGAGAUGAAGCCUACAGUCCACUACAGUGAGAUACAGUGAGAUGCAGUCUACUACAGUGAGAUGCAGUCUACUACAGUGAGAUGCAGUCUACAGUCUACUACAGUGAGAUGCAGUCUACAGUCUACUACAGUGAGAUGCUGUCUACAGUCUACUACAGUGAGAUGCAGUCUACUACAGUGAUAUGCAGCCUACUACAGUGAGAUGCAGUCUACUACAGUGAGAUACAGUCUACAGUCUACUACAGUGAGAUGCAAUCUACUACAGUGAGAUGCAGUCUACAGUCUACUACAGUGAGAUGCUGUCUACAGUCUACUACAGUGAGAUGCAGUCUACUACAGUGAUAUGCAGUCUACUACAGUGAGAUGCAGUCUACAGUCUACUACAGUGAGAUGCAGUCUACAGUCUACUACAGUGAGAUGCAGUCUACAGUCUACUACAGUGAGAUGCAAUCUACUACAGUGAGAUGCAGUCUACAGUCUACUACAGUGAGAUGCAGUCUACAGUCUACUACAGUGAGAUGCAGUCUACAGUCUACUACAGUGAGAUGCAGUCUACAGUCUACUACAGUGAGAUGCAGUCUACAGUCUACUACAGUGAGAUGCAGUCUACAGUCUACUACAGUGAGAUGCAGUCUACUACAGUGAGAUACAGUCUACUACAGUGAGAUACAGUCUACAGUCUACUACAGUGAGAUGCAGCCUACAGUCUACUACAGUGAGAUGC